UACGUAGGUGGCAAGCGUUGUCCGGAUUUAUUGGGUUUAAAGGGUGCGUAGGCGGCUUAUUAAGUCAGUGGUGAAAUACUCUAGCUCAACUAGAGGGGUGCCAUUGAUACUGAUGAGCUUGAGUACAGAUGAGGUAGGCGGAAUUGACGGUGUAGCGGUGAAAUGCGUAGAUAUCGGGAGGAACACCGGUGGCGAAGGCGGCCUUCUGGACGGAUACUGACGCUGAGACGCGAAAGCGUGGGGAGCAAACAGG
This 253-nucleotide ribosomal RNA is filed under the name uncultured bacterium. RNAcentral describes it as "partial 16S ribosomal RNA". It matches the Rfam family "Bacterial small subunit ribosomal RNA", at positions 524 to 776 of the family's 1533-position model. The record is from RNAcentral.